This 403-nucleotide ribosomal RNA is filed under the name Bacteroidota bacterium. RNAcentral describes it as "Bacteroidetes bacterium partial 16S ribosomal RNA". It matches the Rfam family "Bacterial small subunit ribosomal RNA", at positions 355 to 776 of the family's 1533-position model. Lineage: Bacteria; Pseudomonadati; Bacteroidota. The record is from RNAcentral.
UGGGGAAUUUUGCACAAUGGGGGAAACCCUGAUGCAGCGACGCCGCGUGAGCGAAGAAGGUUUUCGAAUCGUAAAGCUCUGUCCUAUGGGAAGAUAAUGACGGUACCAUAGGAGGAAGCCCCGGCUAACUACGUGCCAGCAGCCGCGGUAAUACGUAGGGGGCAAGCGUUGUCCGGAAUCACUGGGCGUAAAGGGUUCGCAGGCGGAAAUGCAAGUCAGUUGUGAAAGGCAGAGGCUCAACCUCUGUAAGCAAUUGAAACUGUAUUUCUUGAGAUGUGGAGAGGCAAGUGGAAUUCCUAGUGUAGCGGUGAAAUGCGUAGAUAUUAGGAAGAAUACCGGUGGCGAAGGCGACUUGCUGGACACAAACUGACGCUGAGGAACGAAAGCGUGGGUAGCAAACAGG